RNAcentral lists this unclassified non-coding RNA (504 nucleotides) under Artemisia afra. Its description in RNAcentral is "partial external transcribed spacer". The record is from RNAcentral. Lineage: Eukaryota; Viridiplantae; Streptophyta; Magnoliopsida; Asterales; Asteraceae.
UUCCUGACUUUCCCAUCGUUCGGGGCAUUCUGGGGCUGUUUUGGCUAUUGGUUGCUUGUUUGGUCUUGAGCUGAACGGGUGGCUUAUAGUNUGGUGGCUUCGGGGAUGUUGACCGUAAAGGUGGAUGAGUGGUGUUUGGUUUGUUACGUGUGGUUGGCUGCGGCGUUUGCAACAACUUCCAUGCUUUCAGACCUCUUCAGUUGUGCGGCAGGGCUUGUAUCGCCUUGAGCGUAUUGUGGGUUUUCUGUGUUGGCUACCUAAUCAACGGUAUCGGUUGGAUUGAUCAAAGUUUGAUUUCGUCUUCCGUCGCAUUCGCGGCGUGAGGUGAACCUCGAUGCGGUCUCUUUGAUCCACCUCGNCGAAGCACAUGCUUUGACGUUGUGGCCCAUUGAGCAUUGCUUGGUCUCUUGUAUACGGAACAUAUAGUGGGCAUGGAUCUAACGAUUCUCGUUUGCCCUCAUAUUAGCGUAACGCUUNUCUUACACGACUUGCUCCACGUUUUAG